GCAAGUAAAUAAAGCAUGGAGGAUACAGAAGCAGCCGUGGAGGAGGUUUCAGCACAGUCUGGCUCCCACAUGUGCUGGGAUCGUUAGGAUGAUUUAUAGGGAAGAAUGCUAGCCUUUUUUCUUUUUUGCUUUAUAAUAAUACAUUAGGCUUUUAACCUCUGACCAAAAGAGGUGGAAGGGAGGAUUCCGAAAACACCAUGUUGCUCGGCUUGCAGCCUAGCCUGACCUGGGGAAAGCACCUCCCUUUCCCCCCACCUUCCUUGGAAAUAAAUCCAUCACCAGCUUCAGGAGGAAAGAAGGGAAAAAAUGAACCUCUCUUCUCAGUGUGUUUCAAGGCAAAGGUGGAAGCAACCCGGCAGGGAUGGUGCAGCGCACAUGCCGGUCUACUCUUUAGGCACUGAGGAAGCCUUUGUGGCCACAGGCAGUGGGGAUCCCUUGUCUUCUCCGGUUGGAACUGGCCAAGUCGAUGGCCGGGCCCCUCCUGCUCCUCUGGGGAGGAUUUGGAGAGCCAAGGAUUACCAAAAAGCUUCAGGAAAGAGGGGGCCCAGUAGGGCCAGCUUCUGAAAUGAAGGGGGAAACACCGCUGGAGUGCAUUUCUGACCCUCUCCAAUGCUGUCGGAGAGCUUUACAAAACAAAUCCUAAAGAAAUUAACUCUUAAGUGUUCUGAAACAUUAACAGCCAGCCCCUAUGCCUACCUCUAUGCUUGGAAAACAUAUUCAGGGGGAGCUGAAGUCAUAUAUGAAUAUGAAAAUAUAUCCAGGGGUAGUCAGAGAUAUCCUGGAUCCCAAGAGGAGUUACUUUAGCCAUUGAGAUCUUUCCAGACCAGCUGAACAACAGAAACAACAUCUGGUACAAAAUGUAGUCCUAUGAAUCUAAUAAUAUAAUUUUUUUUGUAUGAUUUAAAAAUAUAUCUUUUGGCAAUUGUCCAGACCAACUAAACAACAGAAAAAGAUCUGAUAUAAAAUAUAGGCAUGCAGCUCCCAACACUAUCACUUUUCCCUUGUAUGAUUUUAAAAAAAUCUUAUGAGAUCCCUCAAUAUCAACUGAACAACAAAAAGUAGCCCUAUGAUUCCAAUCUGUCAUUUUUCUUCUUUUGUAUGUUUUUAAAACAUCUUUUGCUUGAUGAAGAAGCCAUGAAAAAUCCAAAGCUUGAAUGAAGUAUUUUGCCCAUUUUGGUUGUUCUCUGUGUUCAAAAAUAAACCCCACUUGGAAUUCAGAGGGGCUUGCCUUAAGUAAGGGGGGCGAAGAUUUCAUCCUAAAAUUCUUGAUAAUGACCUGAAGAAGAGCUGUGUGUUUCUUCUUUUUAUUUAGAACUAGCUUAGGUAUCCAGCGAUGCUCGGGUUAGGUAAU
Molecule: long non-coding RNA, 1351 nt
Organism: Anolis carolinensis (green anole)
Lineage: Eukaryota; Metazoa; Chordata; Lepidosauria; Squamata; Anolidae
Exons: 2
Source: RefSeq, a predicted model, not a curated record